GAUGAAGAACGUAGCGAAAUGCGAUAAGUAGUGUGAAUUGCAGAAUUCCGUGAAUCAUCGAAUCUUUGAACGCACAUUGCGCCUUCUGGUAUUCCGGAAGGCAUGCCUGUUCGAGAGUCAUUAACAACCGUUUCGAUCCCUUUCUUUCAGAAAUUACAAAGAGGAAAAGGGUUUGGUUAUGGUGGAGGAGGGAAAGGGAGCGUUUAGCCUGUAAAAAAAGAGGCUGUGUUCCGCCUCCCCCCCAAAAUUGUACAGGCGGUCGUGUGCGCCCACGCAUCGAGGUGUUGUAAAAGCUGCCACGGCACUUUUCACCUGUGCAGUGCAAGAUUGGCCAGCCGGUUUAAAAACCCCUCCAAACAAUCAAAGGUUGACCUCGGAUCAGGUAGGGAUACCCGCUGAACUUAAGCAUAUCAAUAAGCGGAGGA
RNAcentral lists this unclassified non-coding RNA (425 nucleotides) under soil metagenome. RNAcentral's name for it is "partial contains 5.8S ribosomal RNA, internal transcribed spacer 2, and large subunit ribosomal RNA". The stretch from base 1 to 120 matches the Rfam family "5.8S ribosomal RNA", at positions 35 to 154 of the family's 154-position model. The record is from RNAcentral.